GAUGAACGCUGGCGGCGUGCCUAAUACAUGCCAGUCGAGCGAACAGAUGAGGAGCUUGCUCCUCUGACGUUAGCGGCGGACGGGUGAGUAACACGUGGAUAACCUACCUAUAAGACUGGGAUAACUUCGGGAAACCGGAGCUAAUACCGGAUAAUAUAUUGAACCGCAUGGUUCAAUAGUGAAAGACGGUUUUGCUGUCACUUAUAGAUGGAUCCGCGCCGCAUUAGCUAGUUGGUAAGGUAACGGCUUACCAAGGCAACGAUGCGUAGCCGACCUGAGAGGGUGAUCGGCCACACUGGAACUGAGACACGGUCCAGACUCCUACGGGAGGCAGCAGUAGGGAAUCUUCCGCAAUGGGCGAAAGCCUGACGGAGCAACGCCGCGUGAGUGAUGAAGGUCUUCGGAUCGUAAAACUCUGUUAUUAGGGAAGAACAAAUGUGUAAGUAACUAUGCACGUCUUGACGGUACCUAAUCAGAAAGCCACGGCUAACUACGUG
RNAcentral lists this ribosomal RNA (497 nucleotides) under uncultured bacterium. RNAcentral's name for it is "partial 16S ribosomal RNA". It matches the Rfam family "Bacterial small subunit ribosomal RNA", at positions 28 to 507 of the family's 1533-position model. The record is from RNAcentral.